Molecule: ribosomal RNA, 334 nt
Filed under: uncultured bacterium
Lineage: Bacteria
Description: bacterial SSU rRNA
Rfam family: Bacterial small subunit ribosomal RNA
Source: RNAcentral
UGCGUAGGCGGCUUGGUAAGUCACGUGUGAAAGGCCGGGGCUCGAACCCCCGGAUCUGCAUGUGAGACUGCCUGGCUCGAGCACGGUAGAGGCGGGCGGAAUUCCUGGUGUAGCGGUGGAAUGCGUAGAUAUCAGGAAGAACACCGGUGGCGAGGGCGGCUCGCUGGGCCGUUGCUGACGCUGAGGCACGAAAGCGUGGGGAGCAAACAGGAUUAGAUACCCUGGUAGUCCACGCCCUAAACGAUGGACACUAGGCGUCGGGGGGAGCGACCCUCCCGGUGCCGUCGCUAACGCAAUAAGUGUCCCGCCUGGGGAGUACGGCCGCAAGGCUGAA